AUCCCUUUUGGUUCAAAAGUGAUUACUGGGUGUUUAUAUCAUUAUGUGACACACGCCUCCUUCAACCCUCAUUAUUGACAUUAUGACAUUUUUCCAUCUGACA
Molecule: small nucleolar RNA, 103 nt
Filed under: Neotoma lepida (desert woodrat)
Lineage: Eukaryota; Metazoa; Chordata; Mammalia; Rodentia; Cricetidae
Description: Small nucleolar RNA U13
Rfam family: Small nucleolar RNA U13
Source: Rfam by way of RNAcentral